UGGAGAGGAUAAGCUGACGUAAUACAACGAAGGUGUUGGAGAGGAUAAGCUGACGUAAUACAACGAAGGUGUUGGAGAGGAUAAGCUGACGUAAUACAACGAAGGUGUUGGAGAGGAUAAGCUGACGUAAUACAACGAAGGUGUUGGAGAGGAUAAGCUGACGUAAUACAACGAAGGUGUUGGAGAGGAUAAGCUGACGUAAUACAACGAAGGUGUUGGAGAGGAUAAGCUGACGUAAUACAACGAAGGUGUUGGAGAGGAUAAGCUGACGUAAUACAACGAAGGUGUUGGAGAGGAUAAGCUGACGUAAUACAACGAAGGUGUUGGAGAGGAUAAGCUGACGUAAUACAACGAAGGUGUUGGAGAGGAUAAGCUGACGUAAUACAACGAAGGUGUUGGAGAGGAUAAGCUGACGUAAUACAACGAAGGUGUUGGAGAGGAUAAGCUGACGUAAUACAACGAAGGUGUUGGAGAGGAUAAGCUGACGUAAUACAACGAAGGUGUUGGAGAGGAUAAGCUGACGUAAUACAACGAAGGUGUUGGAGAGGAUAAGCUGACGUAAUACAACGAAGGUGUUGGAGAGGAUAAGCUGACGUAAUACAACGAAGGUG
Oncorhynchus keta (chum salmon) is the source of this 611-nucleotide long non-coding RNA. RefSeq lists it as uncharacterized. Lineage: Eukaryota; Metazoa; Chordata; Actinopteri; Salmoniformes; Salmonidae. The transcript is spliced from 3 exons. The record is from RefSeq and is a predicted model, not a curated record.